This 645-nucleotide ribosomal RNA is filed under the name Triticum aestivum (bread wheat). Its description in RNAcentral is "partial small subunit ribosomal RNA". The record is from RNAcentral. Lineage: Eukaryota; Viridiplantae; Streptophyta; Magnoliopsida; Poales; Poaceae.
AUGAAGCCUGUCUUUGGUAAUGAUUAUAAGUUCACGGAUGAGGACAUAGAGACAGCCGUUUACAUCCGCGGAACAUAUGACCCUAUUGAAAUAGCUAAAAUCGGAGACAUUUCCCUCACAGCAGAAAAUCUGAAGCGAAAUUUGGACGACAAAUACAUUUAUGGUGAUGUUAUUAUGGCAUAUGCUCGCAUUAGCCAAAUUGAGAAUGAUACUACCUCAAUCAUAUCCCCUCAAGAAACCGAAAAGCUGUUACAAAUGAAGGGGGUGGUUUCUGUUGGACGUGCAGCCUCAUGGUUAGCUCGUGUAGCAGGAAAAUUUGUAGGGCGCCGAAAGGUGCAUGUCCCACUCAAUGUACACCAAAACCAUUGGAUGCUAAUGAUGUUUAAUUUUGACAAAAAAGAAAUUCAGACUCUGAACUCCAUGAAUUAUCAUUGCGACAAGACCAAGGAAGAUUCUCUUUUCUGCAUUGACGAAGCUGUCAAGAAUGGGUUGAUAUCACCAGCUAAUAACAUCAAUUUUGCCAAAUGGACCAAAAAACGCUAUGAGAACAUACCACAACAGACCGAUGGGACUUCCUGUGCGGUUUGGACACUGCAAUACAUGUUGUCAUGGAACAGGGAUGAAAUGACCGAUAUUUUGAACUAG